CGUCAAAUCAGCACGGCCCUUAUGUCCAGGGCUACACACGUGUUACAAUGGUCGGUACAGAGGGCAGCUACCUGGUGACAGGAUGCUAAUCUCGAAAACCGGCCUCAGUUCGGAUCGAAGUCUGCAACUCGACUUCGUGAAGCUGGAUUCGCUAGUAAUCGCGCAUCAGCCAUGGCGCGGUGAAUACGUUCCCGGGCCUU
This 200-nucleotide ribosomal RNA is filed under the name uncultured Sphingobacteriales bacterium. Its description in RNAcentral is "partial 16S ribosomal RNA". It matches the Rfam family "Bacterial small subunit ribosomal RNA", at positions 1183 to 1382 of the family's 1533-position model. Lineage: Bacteria; Pseudomonadati; Bacteroidota; Sphingobacteriia; Sphingobacteriales. The record is from RNAcentral.